AGAGUUUGAUCCUGGCUCAGGAUGAACGCUAGCUACAGGCUUAACACAUGCAAGUCGAGGGGCAGCAUGACGAUAGCUUGCUAUUGUUGAUGGCGACCGGCGCACGGGUGAGUAACGCGUAUCCAACCUUCCCGUUGCUAGGGGAUAACCUUGCGAAAGUAAGACUAAUACCCUAUGAUGUUCUUCGCAGGCAUCUAAAGAGAACGAAAGAUUUAUCGGCAACGGAUGGGGAUGCGUCUGAUUAGGUUGUUGGCGGGGUAACGGCCCACCAAGCCUACGAUCAGUAGGGGUUCUGAGAGGAAGGUCCCCCACAUUGGAACUGAGACACGGUCCAAACUCCUACGGGAGGCAGCAGUGAGGAAUAUUGGUCAAUGGACGGAAGUCUGAACCAGCCAAGUAGCGUGCAGGAUGACGGCCCUAUGGGUUGUAAACUGCUUUUAUGUGGGAAUAAAGUGAGGGACGUGUCCCUUUUUGUGGGUACCACAUGAAUAAGGACCGGCUAAUUCCGUGCCAGCAGCCGCGGUAAUACGGAAGGUCCGGGCGUUAUCCGGAUUUAUUGGGUUUAAAGGGAGCGUAGGCCGUCUUUUAAGCGUGUUGUGAAAUACUGUCGCUCAACGACAGAGGUGCAGCGCGAACUGGGAGACUUGAGUGCGCGGAAUGCAGGCGGAAUUCGUCGUGUAGCGGUGAAAUGCUUAGAUAUGACGAAGAACUCCGAUUGCGAAGGCAGCUUGCAGUAGCGUAACUGACGCUGAAGCUCGAAAGUGCGGGUAUCGAACAGGAUUAGAUACCCUGGUAGUCCGCACGGUAAACGAUGGAUGCUCGCUGUGUGCCCCUGGGUACGCGGCCAAGCGAAAGCGUUAAGCAUCCCACCUGGGGAGUACGCCGGCAACGGUGAAACCCAAAGGAAUUGACGGGGGCCCGCACAAGCAGUGGAGUAUGUGGUUUAAUUCGACGCAACGCGAAGAACCUUACCAAGUCUUGACAUCCUGCGACGCACAUAGAAAUAUGUGUUUCCUUCGGGACGCAGAGACAGGUGGUGCAUGGUUGUCGUCAGCUCGUGUCGUGAGAUGUUGGGUUAAGUCCCGCAACGAGCGCAACCCUUAUGGUCAGUUACUACGCAAGAGGACUCUGGCCAGACUGCCGUUGACAAAACGGAGGAAGGUGGGGAUGACGUCAAAUCAUCAUGCCCUUUAUGACUUGGGCUACACACGUACUACAAUGGCGUUAAACAAAGAGAAGCAAGACCGCGAGGUGGGGCAAAACUCAGAAACAACGUCCCAGUUCGGACUGCAGGCUGCAACUCGCCUGCACGAAGUCGGAAUUGCUAGUAAUCGCAGAUCAGCAUGCUGCGGUGAAUACGUUCCCGGGCCUUGUACACACCGCCCGUCACACCAUGAGAGCCGGGGGGACCCGAAGUCGGUAGUCUAACCGCAAGGAGGACGCCGCCGAAGGU
This 1453-nucleotide ribosomal RNA is filed under the name metagenome. RNAcentral's name for it is "bacterial SSU rRNA". It matches the Rfam family "Bacterial small subunit ribosomal RNA". The record is from RNAcentral.